This 500-nucleotide ribosomal RNA is filed under the name uncultured bacterium. RNAcentral's name for it is "partial 16S ribosomal RNA". It matches the Rfam family "Bacterial small subunit ribosomal RNA", at positions 29 to 523 of the family's 1533-position model. The record is from RNAcentral.
AUUGAACGCUGGCGGCAUGCCUUACACAUGCAAGUCGAACGGCAGCACGGGGGCAACCCUGGUGGCGAGUGGCGAACGGGUGAGUAAUGCAUCGGAACGUGUCCUCUUGUGGGGGAUAACCAGUCGAAAGACUGGCUAAUACCGCAUGAGAUCGAGAGAUGAAAGCGGGGGACCGCAAGGCCUCGCGCGAGAGGAGCGGCCGAUGCCCGAUUAGCUAGUUGGUGGGGUAAGAGCCCACCAAGGCGACGAUCGGUAGCUGGUCUGAGAGGACGACCAGCCACACUGGGACUGAGACACGGCCCAGACUCCUACGGGGGGCAGCAGUGGGGAAUUUUGGACAAUGGGCGAAAGCCUGAUCCAGCCAUUCCGCGUGCAGGAAGAAGGCCUUCGGGUUGUAAACUGCUUUUGUACGGAACGAAACGCGCUGUGCUAAUACCACGGCGUAAUGACGGUACCGUAAGAAUAAGCACCGGCUAACUACGUGCCAGCCGCCGCGGUAA